RNAcentral lists this transfer RNA (81 nucleotides) under Synechococcaceae bacterium WB8_1B_136. RNAcentral's name for it is "tRNA-Leu". It matches the Rfam family "tRNA". Rfam says of the family: Transfer RNA (tRNA) molecules are approximately 80 nucleotides in length. Their secondary structure includes four short double-helical elements and three loops (D, anti-codon, and T loops). Further hydrogen bonds mediate the characteristic L-shaped molecular structure. tRNAs have two regions of fundamental functional importance: the anti-codon, which is responsible for specific mRNA codon recognition, and the 3' end, to which the tRNAs corresponding amino acid is attached (by aminoacyl-tRNA synthetases). tRNAs cope with the degeneracy of the genetic code in two manners: having more than one tRNA (with a specific anti-codon) for a particular amino acid; and 'wobble' base-pairing, i.e. permitting non-standard base-pairing at the 3rd anti-codon position. Lineage: Bacteria; Bacillati; Cyanobacteriota; Cyanophyceae; Synechococcales; Synechococcaceae. The record is from RNAcentral.
GCGGAUGUGGCGAAAUGGCAGACGCCCUAGACUUAGAAUCUAGUGAAGAAAUUCGUGAGAGUUCAAGUCUCUCCAUCCGCA